Molecule: long non-coding RNA, 1268 nt
Organism: Erigeron canadensis
Lineage: Eukaryota; Viridiplantae; Streptophyta; Magnoliopsida; Asterales; Asteraceae
Exons: 3
Source: RefSeq, a predicted model, not a curated record
GUUCUCAGGAUCGGACUGAGGAGAAAGGAUAGGGUUCUUUAUAUAAAAAUAAUAAUAUAUGAAAUAAUUAGUAAAAAACUUCAAACUUAUACAUAAUUGUUUAUAAACAUUAAAAUAGUACUGCAAAUUUCAAACAAUUAACAUAAACUUAAACUAAUCUAAAUCUUUAUUAAAAGUUUAUUAAAACGGAAAAAAAGUCUGACCAGAGUUCGGCUGAUUUUCGACUGAGUCGGUGUAUUGUUAACAAAGUUAACCCGAUGCUGAGCCGUUGACCAAUUUUAAUCCUAUCCGGUCUGAAUCGUCUGUAAAUGGCCGAUCCUGGAUCCGAUCCGGAUUUCUUGGCCGAUUUUUUGCAAGCCUGUGUUUAUGAUCUGAGACCAAAGUCAUCAAACUAACAGAAGUCAGAGAAUUAUGCAUAUUUUUUAGCUCGAUCAAUGUCGAGUCAUCCGGGUGAUAGAUAAAAAGAGAGAACAAACAUGUCUUCCCUCUUCUGCUUGUUUUUCUUAUAUUUCUUUUUGUUACUUGUUAGAAGUUUUGAUAAGUGAUUAACUUCGUAAUUAGUGGUGAUGUUCUUUUCUUUGUUUUGUCCUAAUAUAUAGAAGGUUACCUCAUUUGUGUUCUAGUUUGUCAGUGUACUUUUAUGCCUUUAUUGCGGGUCGAUAUCGUUAUCACUAUCAGUCUAUUGCCUCCAACUUUUCAUUACAUUGAGGUUCUACACUCUUCAUUACCAUGCUUAAAAAGCAUCUUGUCUCCGUUAGCUAUGUUAAUAAUUCAAUGUUCAAGCUACAUGAUGCAGCCAAAGAUGGUGGUAUCACAAUUCUUGGUGAAAUGGGCUUGGAUCCAGCAAUAGGCUAACUCAAUACCGAAUGACCCAUCGGCCAACAACUCUCUUCUUCCCACCACUCCUACCAAGAUUACAAACUCAUCUUUAAAUCUCAAGCUGUGUUGGAUAGAUGACAGUGCUGAAGCUACUCGGGAAUACUGAGUAAAUAAUUUUAUGUUAAAUGUACAAUACUUAAUAUACCUUAACGAAAACCCACAGGGUUUCGUUUAACAAAACCCUAAUGUCAACUAUGGUCAGACUCGUCCCAGGAGGAUUAGUCUCUGCCAGCUUCACAUCAACACUACGUCAAAAACGCAGUGGUGGAUCCAGGUUGCAAGCUCAUAGGGGUCCUUGUAACCCUAAAGCGAUGGAUCAGCUUGAAAGGAAAUUGGAAUACUUAGGGGUUAAGAGACUCGUUUUGACUGCUGUUUCAGAGAUGGUUAGU